This 461-nucleotide ribosomal RNA is filed under the name uncultured archaeon. RNAcentral describes it as "bacterial SSU rRNA". It matches the Rfam family "Archaeal small subunit ribosomal RNA", at positions 539 to 997 of the family's 1478-position model. The record is from RNAcentral.
CUCUGGGGAAAUCUACUGGCUAACCAAUAGACGUUCAGGGAUACUGGCAGACUAGGGACCGGGAGAGGUGAGAGGUACUCCAGGGGUAGGAGUGAAAUCCUGGUAACUCCUUGGGGGGACCACCGUGUGGCGAAGGCGUCUCACCAGAACGGCUCCGACAGUGAGGGACGAAAGCUGGGGGAGCAAACCGGAUUAGAUACCCGGGUAGUCCCAGCCGUAACGAUGUGCGUUAGGUGUAUCGAUGACCACGAGUCAUCGAGGUGCCGAAGAGAAAUCGUGAAACGUACCGCCUGGGAAGUACGGUCGCAAGGCUGAAACUUAAAGGAAUUGGCGGGGGAGCACCACAACAGGUGGAGCCCUGCGGUUUAAUCGGACUCAACGCCGGAAAUCUCACCGGAUAAGACAGCUGGAUGAUAGUCGGGCUGAAGACUCUACUUGACUAGCUGAGGGGUGGUGCAUGG